Molecule: ribosomal RNA, 558 nt
Filed under: uncultured bacterium
Lineage: Bacteria
Description: bacterial SSU rRNA
Rfam family: Bacterial small subunit ribosomal RNA
Source: RNAcentral
AAUAGAUACCCAGGUAGUCCACGCCGUAAACGAUGGAUGCUAGCUAUUGGGGGGAAUCGACCCCCUCCGAAGCGAAGCUAACGCGUUAAGCAUCCCGCCUGAGUAGUACGAGCGCAAGCUUAAAACUCAAAGGAAUUGACGGGGACCCGCACAAGCGGUGGAGCGUGUGGUUUAAUUCGAUGGUAAACGAAGAACCUUACCAAGGUUUGACAUCCCGGUAGCCGUUCCCCGAAAGGAGAAUUUCAUUUAGUUGGACCGGUGACAGGUGAUGCAUGGCCGUCGUCAGCUCGUGUCGUGAGAUGUUGGGUUAAGUCCCGCAACGAGCGCAACCCUUAUGAUUUAGUUGGAUUUUUCUAAACAGACUGCCCUGGUAACAGGGAGGAAGGAGGGGAUGAUGUCAGGUCAGUAUUUCCCUUACACCUUGGGGCGACACACGCGCUACAAUGGCCGGUACAAUGGGCAGCUAAGCCGCGAGGUGGAGCAAAUCCCAUCAAAGCCGGUCCCAGUUCGGAUUGCAGGCUGAAACCCGCCUGCAUGAAGCCGGAAUCGCUAGUAACC